GCGCGCUGGGCUCCGGUCGAGGUGCCGGGCUCCUCCUGCGAGGCCUCCUCAGGGUCCUCAGGGGUGGAGACGUGGGUCGUCUCCGUGGCGGGCUC
RNAcentral lists this transfer RNA (95 nucleotides) under Actinomyces howellii. Its description in RNAcentral is "tRNA-Arg(cct)". Lineage: Bacteria; Bacillati; Actinomycetota; Actinomycetes; Actinomycetales; Actinomycetaceae. The record is from RNAcentral.